This 253-nucleotide ribosomal RNA is filed under the name uncultured bacterium. Its description in RNAcentral is "partial 16S ribosomal RNA". It matches the Rfam family "Bacterial small subunit ribosomal RNA", at positions 524 to 776 of the family's 1533-position model. The record is from RNAcentral.
UACAGAGGCCACGAGCGUUAGGCGGAAUCACUGGGCUUAAAGCGUGUGUAGGCGGAACGGUAAGUACCUUGUGAAAUCCCCGGACUCAAUCCGGGAACUGCUUGGUAUACUGCCGAUCUCGAGGCAGGUAGGGGUCACUGGAACCUUAGGUGGAGCGGUGAAAUGCGUAGAUAUCUAAGGGAACGCCUGUGGCGAAAGCGGGUGACUGGGCCUGUCCUGACGCUGAGACGCGAAAGCGUAGGGAGCAAACGGG